Molecule: small nucleolar RNA, 131 nt
Organism: Amblyraja radiata (thorny skate)
Lineage: Eukaryota; Metazoa; Chordata; Chondrichthyes; Rajiformes; Rajidae
Product: small nucleolar RNA SNORA27
Exons: 1
Source: RefSeq, a predicted model, not a curated record
UCACCCCUCUUCACUUUGCCAAGAAGACAUGUGUCUUUAUUGGUCAUUCAAGUGGGGUAGAGUAAAAUUUCCUUUUUUUAAAAGCCCAGGUAUUUUAUAUUUUAUUUGGGUUUCUAUCACUAGGGACAUUA